Molecule: ribosomal RNA, 404 nt
Filed under: Actinomycetes bacterium
Lineage: Bacteria; Bacillati; Actinomycetota; Actinomycetes
Description: Actinobacteria bacterium partial 16S ribosomal RNA
Rfam family: Bacterial small subunit ribosomal RNA
Source: RNAcentral
UGGGGAAUAUUGGACAAUGGGCGCAAGCCUGAUCCAGCCAUGCCGCGUGAGUGAUGAAGGCCCUAGGGUUGUAAAGCUCUUUCACCGGUGAAGAUAAUGACGGUAACCGGAGAAGAAGCCCCGGCUAACUUCGUGCCAGCAGCCGCGGUAAUACGAAGGGGGCUAGCGUUGUUCGGAUUUACUGGGCGUAAAGCGCACGUAGGCGGACUUUUAAGUCAGGGGUGAAAUCCCGGGGCUCAACCCCGGAACUGCCUUUGAUACUGGAAGUCUUGAGUAUGGUAGAGGGGAGUGGAAUUCCGAGUGUAGAGGUGAAAUUCGUAGAUAUUCGGAGGAACACCAGUGGCGAAGGCGGCUCACUGGACCAUUACUGACGCUGGGGUGCGAAAGGGUGGGGAGCAAACAGG